RNAcentral lists this microRNA precursor (92 nucleotides) under Poecilia formosa (Amazon molly). RNAcentral describes it as "miRNA (ENSPFOG00000021297.1)". The record is from RNAcentral. Lineage: Eukaryota; Metazoa; Chordata; Actinopteri; Cyprinodontiformes; Poeciliidae.
UAGCUGUAAAUGUGUGUUUUUUAUGUUUUGUAGCUUUAUCUAAGGUGAUAAAAUGUAAAAAAAAAAAGGCACAUUCUAGACACAAUGGUGUA